AAGUUGUUCUCAGAUUCUCCCCCAACUGUGACAUUUGAAGAUGUAAAGAGAUUAGAAUUGUUUGGUCGUGAAGCAGGUUUCAAAGAGCGGAUUGAAGAUCCCAAACCAGCAGGACGCUCAAUGGAGAAAAGCCGGGAUCCAUCUGAGGUGGUAAUUGUAACAUUGCCACCAUCUGAGGGAGCAGCUGUUGAUGCUUUCAGAAGAGCUGCCAGUGAAGCAGCAUCAAAUAACUCUUUUCCACCCCCUUCCUCGUCAGUGUCCACUUCUUCAUCCGAGUCUGUGACAAUCUGGCCAUCAAUUCUCUGUGAAUGAUCAUGAUAACUCUC
Molecule: long non-coding RNA, 326 nt
Filed under: Prunus persica (peach)
Lineage: Eukaryota; Viridiplantae; Streptophyta; Magnoliopsida; Rosales; Rosaceae
Description: long non-coding RNA (PPER_LNC008511)
Source: RNAcentral